Molecule: long non-coding RNA, 71 nt
Organism: Sander lucioperca (pikeperch)
Lineage: Eukaryota; Metazoa; Chordata; Actinopteri; Perciformes; Percidae
Exons: 3
Source: RefSeq, a predicted model, not a curated record
AUUAAUGGCCAUUUUCCACACUAUUAAUAGGCCACAGACCAAACGAUUAACCCUUGUUUUGUCUUCCCUUC